UAUUACACAAUGGGGGAAACCGUGAUGCAGCGACGCCGCGCGAGUGAAGAAGUAUUUCGGUAUGUAAAGCUCUAUCAGCAGGGAAGAAAAUGACGGUACCUGAUUAAGAGGCCCCGGCUAACGACGCGCCAGCAGCCGCGGUAAUACGUAGGGGGCAAGCGUUAUCCGGAUUUACUGGGUGUAAAGGGAGCGUAGACGGCAGCACAAGUCUGGAGUGAAAUGCCGGGGCUUAACCCCGGAACUGCUUUGGAAACUGUAUGGCUGGAGUGCAGGAGAGGUAAGUGGAAUUCCUAGUGUAGCGGUGAAAUGCGUAGAUAUUAGGAGGAACACCAGUGGCGAAGGCGGCUUACUGGACUGUAACUGACGUUGAGGCUCGAAAGCGUGGGGAGCAAACAGG
This 397-nucleotide ribosomal RNA is filed under the name uncultured bacterium. RNAcentral describes it as "bacterial SSU rRNA". It matches the Rfam family "Bacterial small subunit ribosomal RNA", at positions 362 to 776 of the family's 1533-position model. The record is from RNAcentral.